This 439-nucleotide ribosomal RNA is filed under the name uncultured bacterium. Its description in RNAcentral is "bacterial SSU rRNA". It matches the Rfam family "Bacterial small subunit ribosomal RNA", at positions 958 to 1397 of the family's 1533-position model. The record is from RNAcentral.
AACGCGAAGAACCUUACCUGGGCUUGAACCGCACAGGACCAUCUUUGGAAACAGAGACUUCCCGCAAGGGACCUGUGUAGAGGUGCUGCAUGGCUGUCGUCAGCUCGUGCCGUGAGGUGUUGGGUUAAGUCCCGCAACGAGCGCAACCCUUACUCAUAGUUGCUACCCGCAAGGGAGAACUCUAUGAGGACUGCUCCGGAUAACGGAGAGGAAGGUGGGGAUGAGGUCAAGUCAGCAUGGCCUUUAUGUCCAGGGCUACACACGUGUUACAAUGCGCGCUACAGAGCGUUGCAAACCCGCGAGGGGGAGCUAAUCGCACAAAAGCGCGCUCAGUUCGGAUUGCAGUCUGCAACUCGACUGCAUGAAGCCGGAAUCGCUAGUAAUGGCGCAUCAGAACGGCGCCGUGAAUACGUUCCCGGGCCUUGUACACACCGGCUAC